RNAcentral lists this ribosomal RNA (1507 nucleotides) under uncultured prokaryote. RNAcentral describes it as "partial 16S ribosomal RNA". It matches the Rfam family "Bacterial small subunit ribosomal RNA". The record is from RNAcentral.
UCAGUUUGAUCCUGGCUCAGAUUGAACGCUGGCGGUAUGCUUAACACAUGCAAGUCGAACGGUAACAGGCAAAGCUUGCUUUGCGCUGACGAGUGGCGGACGGGGGAGUAACGCGUGGGAAUCUGCCUACUAGCGGGGGAUAGCCCGGAGAAAUCCGGAUUAAUACCGCAUAAGCCCUACGGGGGAAAGCUGGGGAUCUUCGGACCUGGCACUAGUAGAUGAGCCCGCGUUAGAUUAGCUUGUUGGUGGGGUAAUGGCCUACCAAGGCAACGAUCUAUAGCUGGUCUGAGAGGACGAUCAGCCACACUGGGACUGAGACACGGCCCAGACUCCUACGGGAGGCAGCAGUGGGGAAUAUUGCACAAUGGGCGCAAGCCUGAUGCAGCAAUACCGCGUGUGUGAAGAAGGCCUGAGGGUUGUAAAGCACUUUCAAAAGUGAAGAAAAGUUGUUGGUUAAUAACCUUCAACCUUGACGUUAACUAUACAAGAAGCACCGGCUAACUCCGUGCCAGCAGCCGCGGUAAUACGGAGGGUGCGAACGUUAAUCGGAAUUACUGGGCGUAAAGCGCGCGUAGGCGGUUUGUUAAGUGGGAUGUGAAAGCCCCGGGCUCAACCUGGGAAUUGCGUUCCAAACUGGCAAGCUAGAGUAUGGUAGAGGAAGGUAGAAUUCCCUGUGUAGCGGUGAAAUGCGUAGAUAUAGGGAGGAAUACCAGUGGCGAAGGCGGCCUUCUGGACCAAUACUGACGCUGAGGUGCGAAAGCGUGGGGAGCAAACAGGAUUAGAUACCCUGAGUCCACGCCGUAAACGAUGUCAACUAGCCGUUGGGCCCCUUGAGGGUUUAGUGGCGCAGCUAACGCGAUAAGUUGACCGCCUGGGGAGUACGGCCGCAAGGCUAAAACUCAAAUGAAUUGACGGGGGCCCGCACAAGCGGUGGAGCAUGUUGUUUAAUUCGAUGCAACGCGAAGAACCUUACCAUCCCUUGACAUCCUAGGAACUUGGUAGAGAUACCUUGGUGCCUUCGGGAACCUAGUGACAGGUGCUGCAUGGCUGUCGUCAGCUCGUGUCGUGAGAUGUUGGGUUAAGUCCCGUAACGAGCGCAACCCUUAUCCUUAUUUGCCAGCGAGUAAUGUCGGGAACUCUAAGGAGACUGCCGGUGACAAACCGGAGGAAGGCGGGGACGAGGUCAAGUCAUCAUGGCCCUCACGGGAUGGGCUACAAACGUGCUACAAUGGGGGGUACAAAGGGCUGCAAACUCGCGAGAGUAAGCGAAUCCCAAAAAACCCCUCGUAGUCCGGAUCGGAGUCUGCAACUCGACUCCGUGAAGUCGGAAUCGCUAGUAAUCGCGAAUCAGAAUGUCGCGGUGAAUACGUUCCCGGGCCUUGUACACACCGCCCGUCACGUCAUGGAAGUGGGUUGCACCAGAAGUAGCUAGUCUAACCUUCGGGAGGACGGUUACCACGGUGUGAUUCAUGACUGGGACGAAGGGUGAAGUCGUAACAAGGUAACC